RNAcentral lists this ribosomal RNA (120 nucleotides) under Scophthalmus maximus (turbot). The record is from RNAcentral. Lineage: Eukaryota; Metazoa; Chordata; Actinopteri; Pleuronectiformes; Scophthalmidae.
GCUUACGGCCACACCACCUGAUUCACGCCCGAUCUCGUUUGAUCUCGGAAGCUAAGAUAGGUUGGGCCUGGUUAGUACUUGGAUGGGAGACAGCCUGGGGAAUACCAGGUGCUGUAAGCU